RNAcentral lists this ribosomal RNA (405 nucleotides) under uncultured bacterium. RNAcentral describes it as "bacterial SSU rRNA". It matches the Rfam family "Bacterial small subunit ribosomal RNA", at positions 355 to 776 of the family's 1533-position model. The record is from RNAcentral.
UGAGGAAUCUUCGGCAAUGGGCGAAAGCCUGACCGAGCAACGCCGCGUGCAGGAUGACGGCCUUCGGGUUGUAAACUGCUUUUAUUUGGGAAGAUUAUGACGGUACCAAAUGAAUAAGGACCGGCUAACUACGUGCCAGCAGCCGCGGUAAUACGUAGGGUCCAAGCGUUAUCCGGAAUUACUGGGCGUAAAGCGUGCGUAGGUGGGGGUUUAAGUGAGAUGCGAAAUCCUGUGGCUCAACCAUAUGGACUGUAUCUCAUACUGGAUCCCUUGAGGAUGGCAGAGGCAAGUGGAAUUACCGGUGUAGCAGUGAAAUGCGUAGAUAUCGGUAGGAACACCAAUGGCGAAGGCAGCUUGCUGGGCCACACCUGACACUGAGGUACGAAAGCGUGGGGAGCGAACAGG